GACGAACGCUGGCGGCGUGCUUAACACAUGCAAGUCGAACGGAAAGGCCCUGCUUUUGUGGGGUGCUCGAGUGGCGAACGGGUGAGUAACACGUGAGUAACCUGCCCUUGACUUUGGGAUAACUUCAGGAAACAGGGGCUAAUACCGGAUAGGAGCUCCUGCUGCAUGGGGGGGGUUGGAAAGUUUCGGCGGUUGGGGAUGGACUCGCGGCUUAUCAGCUUGUUGGUGGGGUAGUGGCUUACCAAGGCUUUGACGGGUAGCCGGCCUGAGAGGGUGACCGGCCACAUUGGGACUGAGAUACGGCCCAGACUCCUACGGGAGGCAGCAGUGGGGAAUAUUGCACAAUGGGCGGAAGCCUGAUGCAGCAACGCCGCGUGCGGGAUGACGGCCUUCGGGUUGUAAACCGCUUUCGCCUGUGACGAAGCGUGAGUGACGGUAAUGGGUAAAGAAGCACCGGCUAACUACGUG
RNAcentral lists this ribosomal RNA (468 nucleotides) under uncultured bacterium. Its description in RNAcentral is "partial 16S ribosomal RNA". It matches the Rfam family "Bacterial small subunit ribosomal RNA", at positions 28 to 507 of the family's 1533-position model. The record is from RNAcentral.